Mirounga angustirostris (Northern elephant seal) is the source of this 534-nucleotide long non-coding RNA. RefSeq lists it as uncharacterized. The record is from RefSeq and is a predicted model, not a curated record. Lineage: Eukaryota; Metazoa; Chordata; Mammalia; Carnivora; Phocidae. The transcript has 3 exons.
CCCCGCGGUUCUCGUCGCUCAUGGUGGGCGGCGGGACGCGGGGCUGCUGUGCUGCGCGCUACCCCGCGCGCCCACUGGUGCCCGGCCCCGCGCCGGCCAGAAAGGAAAGUUGCUGCCUCCGGGAAGUCUGAGGAGGUAGCUAUGAGCAAAGGACAAAUAAGUCAAUGGCUUCACACCUUCUGGCAGAAGAACAAAGGACAAGGAACAUUAAAGAGCAGACUUCACAAUCCCUAGUAAACAAUAAACAAAAGAAACAAGCGGAAGACAAAGGAAACGCACAUCCAGCAAUGAAUGGGAAAAUCAAACAUGAUUGAGCCUUUUCACAAUGUACUACAGGCAGCAAGGAAUGAAUGCAUUUCCUCCUCCUUACGUCUAUACCCUCCUCUAAUGUAAAAAAUGAUAAAAUAAUCUGUGCUGCACAGUGAAGACAACUCAGAAAUCAGUACUUCGAUGCAUAACACCAUGUAAAGGCAAGUCCCUUUUUUACUUUUAUGUAAUGAUAAAACACAAUUUAACAUUUUCAUAUGACAAGUU